UUGGGUAUAAACCCGGGAAACUGGGUAUAAUCCCCUAUAAGUCUCGGCUGCUGGAAUGCACCGAGAUUAAAAGCUCCGGCGCCUAAGGAUGGGUCUGCGGCCUAUCAGGUAGUAGUGGGUGUGGCGUACCUACUAGCCUACGACGGGUACGGGUUGUGAGAGCAAGAGCCCGGAGAUGGAUUCUGAGACACGAAUCCAGGCCCUACGGGGUGCAGCAGGCGCGAAAACUUUACAAUGCUGGCAACAGCGAUAAGGGAACCUCGAGUGCCAGGUUACAAAUCUGGCUGUCGAGAUGCCUAAAAAGCAUUUCAUAGCAAGGGCCGGGCAAGACCGGUGCCAGCCGCCGCGGUAACACCGGCGGCUCGAGUGGUAACCGUUAUUAUUGGGUCUAAAGGGUCUGUAGCCGGCCGGAUAAGUCUCUUGAGAAAUCUGGCAGCUUAACUGUCAGGCUUUCAGGAGAUACUGUC
This 467-nucleotide ribosomal RNA is filed under the name uncultured archaeon. RNAcentral describes it as "bacterial SSU rRNA". It matches the Rfam family "Archaeal small subunit ribosomal RNA", at positions 120 to 588 of the family's 1478-position model. The record is from RNAcentral.